GUCAAUGUACAUGGCUCUGGAGUCGGAGUAUUGUCUACUUUUGAGGAACAUCAGCUGGCCUGUGCCUGAAACUCUUUCUGUAUACAUUUUCUAAGAAAUGCUAAGGUGUGGUAAUUGCUAAGGUGGACAAUUGCUCAGGUGUGGCAUUAGCUCAGUCCAUGCACUGAUAUGUAAACCUAUUGGCAAAUUCUCUUUUCAAAUGACUUAGUCAUAUAAUCAUAUUGAUUUAGCUGAUAUGGUUAUUCUUCUUUCACACUACUGCUAACCAAGAAUCAAAUUUCCUGCUAUAGCUUCCUAGGCCCUGGUCUGGACUGCUUUGACCUCCUUUUGCACCCUUCUCUGUCUCACUGUUCUCCAGCCACACUAACCUACCUUCUGCUUCUCAAAGGAAAGCAGCAAGCAUGCUGCCACCUGCUUUUUCCCAGGCCUCAGCACCGGUGGGCCUCAGAGAUGUUUUUCCUGUCCACCUAUUUGAAGACACUGCAUGUCUACUCCCUUGAAAAUUCUCCUUCCAUACUUAAUUUCCUACAUUGAAUAUGUCACUAUUUGGAUCAUUUUAAUGCAUUUAUUUUUUUCCUACCAGCUUCCCUUCAUUAGAAAAUAAGAUUUAGGGGAGCUUAUUGUCUUGAUCAAUGAUGUGAGAAGGAGGUUGGCACAUAGUAGGUUCUAAAUCAACAUUGUAUAAUGAAGAAAUAAUGAACAAACCAAUGUUACUUUCAUAUAACCCUUGCAGAAGACUGUAUAUAUUUCUUUAGAGAGAUGGGUUGCUGUAAAAAAAUGGAAAGAAUGACUCAAAUAAAGAACUUUAAUGCUGGGGCUUCUGCUGGAGAUUAGGACCCUUAAGUGUGCUCCAUGUUUUCCUCUGGUCCAGAGAAUUUCACCUCUGGUUGAAGAAAGAACCUUAUCCCCACCAAAGAAUAGUGCC
Molecule: long non-coding RNA, 925 nt
Filed under: Homo sapiens (human)
Lineage: Eukaryota; Metazoa; Chordata; Mammalia; Primates; Hominidae
Description: HSALNT0335851
Source: RNAcentral